Molecule: unclassified non-coding RNA, 207 nt
Filed under: Hevea brasiliensis (rubber tree)
Lineage: Eukaryota; Viridiplantae; Streptophyta; Magnoliopsida; Malpighiales; Euphorbiaceae
Source: RNAcentral
GAGAGAUUAGCGGCUGAAGAUGGGAGCUGUAACAAGGACAUGGACGUUCAAUACUCUGAUCAAGCAGUAUUAGCAAAUUUGGAUUGGGGAAUUGAAGCCCUUGAAGAAGCUAUUGACACUGCCAAUAUGGAAACAAAGCUAGCACGAUUAGAUUAUGCAGAGAAGAUGCUGCAAGUCUGUGCCAUGUUGAACUCCAACGAGAGAACA